CUUUAAAGAACCAGGUUAAGGGGAUCGGUCUACUGUACUAUUCCUUUAAAGAACCAGGUUAAGGGGAUCGGUCUACUGUACUGUUCCUUUGAAGAACCAGGUUAAGGGGAUCGGUGUACUGUACUAUUCCUUUAAAGAACGAGGUUAAGGGGAUCGGUGUACUGUACUAUUCCUUUAAAGAACCAGGUUAAGGGGAUCGGUCUACUGUACUAUUCCUGUAAAGAACCAGGUUAAGGGGAUCGGUGUAAUGUACUAUUCCUUUAAAGAACCAGGUUAAGGGGAUCGGUCUACUGUACUAUUCCUUUAAAGAACCAGGUUAAGGGGAUCGGUCUAC
Long non-coding RNA from Oncorhynchus tshawytscha (Chinook salmon), 334 nucleotides. The record is from Ensembl. Lineage: Eukaryota; Metazoa; Chordata; Actinopteri; Salmoniformes; Salmonidae.